Monodelphis domestica (gray short-tailed opossum) is the source of this 2001-nucleotide long non-coding RNA. The record is from Ensembl. NCBI's taxonomy places the organism in Eukaryota, Metazoa, Chordata, Mammalia, Didelphimorphia, Didelphidae.
AUGGUCAGCCCCGGGAUCCGCGGCUUCCCCGUAGCUGGGAGGGCGCGAGCCCCAAGGAUCCUCACCUUCCUAGAGGCCGGCGCGCUCCCCUCGGCUGGCGGCCACGGAGACGGCCCGGGGCAUGUCCGUGGAGGGGACGCCCGCGGAGCCAGGCGCUUCAGCAGGCGGCACCACCCAGCCCAGGUUCAGCCCCUCUGGGCGGAACGACGAUGCCCCGGUCCCGGUUCCGCACCCGCUGCUGCUGCUACUACUGCUGCUGCUGCUGCCGUGGCGGAGCCUCGCGGCCGCCCGCCUCAUCUUCCUGCCCGGGGGCGCGGCGCGGCGCGGGCUCGCGGGGCCUACGGGCGGCGCGGGCUCCCGCGGCCACGGCGGUUGGGGGCCAUGCGCGGCGCCGGGUGCGCGCGAGGACGAGAACGAGGCGGCGGCGGCAGCGGGAGUGGGAACUGCGGGAGGUUCGGCCCUCGGCUGCCUGCGCCGAGGCUGCUGCCCGUCCAGUCCGCAGCUACUCCAACUACCACUGGCGCGAAGACCCGGCCCUCAGCCUCCAGCUCCUCCUUCCCCUCCUCCUACUCCUCCUCCUCUUCCGCUUUGCCUUGCCUGGCCUGGCCUAGCGGCCUUCGUUCCCCUACUGCUGCCACUGCUACUGCUGUCGCCGCCGCCGCCUUAGCAGCGCCGCCGCGCGCCGGAACCCAGGGCUAACCCCAGCCAGCGCAAGCUAGCCUCCUCUCGGAGCGCGUGCGCGGGCGUGCCCGAGCGCAAGCCAGCCCCGCCCCCUAUCCUCCGCCCCCGCCAGAGCGCGAGUCACCCCUGCCCCGCCCCUCUUCUCCCCCAACCCCAAUCCACCCCCGCCUCGGCCUGAGCGCGAACGGGCGCGGGAACAGUCCCUCCCUAACCCCCGACCCUGCUCUCUCUUCUUCUCCCGCCCCUCCCCUCUGCGCGAACCUCGAUGCAAGCUGUCCCCUAGCACUCCCUUCUUUUGAGCGCGGGCGCGAGCCCGAGCCGCACCCUUGUCCCAGGCGCGACUCCACCCGGGACCAUCCUUCCCCUCCCCAUCUAUGCCCUUGAAUCCUGCCUGGUUCACACUCUCCUCGUGAGCUCUAGAGAAACCUUGUCCGAGUCCUGACAGAGUGGGCAUCUGCAGGCUCCUAGACCUGCGCCACGCACCGGCUCCUUCUGAGGCGGGGGCUUGGUCCUGGGAGGAGCCCUGUGGACAUGCACGCUGUUCCUUGCUACGGAGGAGAGUAAAAAGGGCCUGGGGAAGCAACACCCCCAAGAAAAGGGUGAGAGAUGUGAUUCCCUCUUUACCCUGAGAGCCUCCAUCCAGAGCGGCACCCUUCCUUCCCUUUCUUUCCUUUCUUUCUUCCUUCCAGUCCACAGAGAAGUGCGUCCGAAAAUCCGGAAACAGGGAUGGGGAGACCCCUUUGUAAAGAUACUCAAGGAAGAUAUGGGAUUCUCCCAGACCUCCAAAAAAAACAACCGUGGAAUUAAGGAGAGCUUGAGAAGUUGACACUCCCACACACGCACACCCCCAGAACAACCUCCACUUUUUUCCUCAGGAAACCAAUGGCGUGACUCAUGUCAAACCACAAAUUCACAGGUCUGAGCUGGAAAGGACCUUAGAUCGACUAAGAAAAGCACGACCCCGGAGAAGUGAAGGGACUUCACGCCACGGGGCCAGAAUUGAGUGGGGGAUUUCACUUCCAUGUGAAAUUGGGCAAUUCCCCAGCAGCCUUUUUUUUUUUUAAGAUUCAUUAAAUUCUAAGUCUGAGAGAAACAUUUGAGAUCAUUCCCUUCCACUCUUUUUAGAGAUGGAACCAAGUAAGGAUUAGUUCGAAUUACUCCAGCUAGCUAGUGUGGAGAUCCAAGGCUAGAAAUUAGGUCUACCAUGCUCUUUCUUUUGGCAAGACUUGUAUGACAUUGAGUGAUCCUUCUAAAUUCAACAACUCAGGUGAAAUUAGUGAAUUUAAUAAAAAAAAAAUAACAUCCCUAACUUUUGGUUUG